This 252-nucleotide unclassified non-coding RNA is filed under the name uncultured fungus. RNAcentral's name for it is "partial contains 5.8S ribosomal RNA, internal transcribed spacer 2, and large subunit ribosomal RNA". Lineage: Eukaryota; Fungi. The record is from RNAcentral.
AACGCACAUUGCGCCCGCCAGCAUUCUGGCGGGCAUGCCUGUUCGAGCGUCAUUUCAACCCUCGACGUCCCCCGGGACGUCGGCCUUGGGGACCGGCAGCACCCCGCCGGCCCUGAAAUGGAGUGGCGGCCCGUCCGCGGCGACCUCUGCGCAGUACAAGCACUCGCACCGGGAACCCGACGCGGCCCGCCGUGAAACCCCCAACCUCUGAACGUUGACCUCGGAUCAGGUAGGACUACCCGCUGAACUUAA